RNAcentral lists this ribosomal RNA (498 nucleotides) under Veillonella parvula. RNAcentral's name for it is "bacterial LSU rRNA". It matches the Rfam family "Bacterial large subunit ribosomal RNA", at positions 1 to 507 of the family's 2925-position model. The record is from RNAcentral. Lineage: Bacteria; Bacillati; Bacillota; Negativicutes; Veillonellales; Veillonellaceae.
AAGUAAAGAUAAUAAGGGCGUACGGUGGAUGCCUUGGCGAUAUCAGCCGAAGAAGGACGCGGUAAGCUGCGAUAAGCUACGGAGAGGUGCAAGCAACCUGUGACCCGUAGAUAUCCGAAUGGGGGAACCCGGCAGUGGUUAUGCACUGUCACCCAUAGCAUAGACUAUGAGGAGGGCACCCGGGGAACUGAAACAUCUAAUUACCCGGAGGAACAGUAAUCAAACGAGAUUUUCUUAGUAGCGGCGAGCGAACGGGAAAGAGGCCAAACCGGAGCGGGCAACCGUACCGGGGUUGAGGACAGUCAUCAAGUGUAAAUGAGGUAGAAGAAUCGAGCUGGAAAGCUCAGCCGCAGAAGGUGAAAGCCCUGUAAUCGAAACCUUGCAUACACGGGACUGUAUCCAGAGUACCACGAGACACGUGAAACCUUGUGGGAAGCAGGGGGGACCACCCUCCAAGCCAAAAUACUGAUAUCGACCGAUAGCGCAUAGUACCGUGAG